This 677-nucleotide ribosomal RNA is filed under the name Echinococcus granulosus. RNAcentral's name for it is "partial 16S ribosomal RNA". The stretch from base 387 to 539 matches the Rfam family "Archaeal large subunit ribosomal RNA", at positions 1887 to 2086 of the family's 2987-position model. The record is from RNAcentral. Lineage: Eukaryota; Metazoa; Platyhelminthes; Cestoda; Cyclophyllidea; Taeniidae.
CUUGACGGAAUUUUUUAAAGUAUGUUUUUGUACCGAAAAGUUUUGAUUUUGAGUUUAAUUGUUUGGGAUUUUUGUGAGGCCUGGGUAAGGUUUUGUAAAUUAAAUUUAUGGUGUGAUAAGUAAGUCGUAUAACUUUAUAGCUGUUUAGUUGUUGAUUGUUUAGUAUUAUAUAUGUGGCGAUUAGGUCGUUUAUAUUUUUAUACAUUUGGUUUUUAUAUGUGUUGUUUGAUGAGGUUAGAGGUACCUAGUCUUUGUUAGAUUGUUGUAAAUAUGGUUUAUUGGUUUGGUUAUGUGUUAAUCGUUUUUGACAACUAUUUUAUUAUAUUUGGUUAUUGUAUUAUCGUUGAAUUAGUAAUUUUAUUAUGCUAUUUUUUUCUUGAGUUCUUUCCGUCUGUUUAUUAAAAACAUUUCUAACUUGAAUUAUAGUUGGUAGUGCCUGCCCAAUGUUGGUUUAUCAAUGGCCGCAGUAUAUUGACUGUGCGAAGGUAGCAUAAUUAAUUGCCUUUUAAUUGGAGGCUUGUUUGAAUGGUUUGACGUGAUUGGUAUGAAGAUUUGGUAUUUAGUUGAAAUUGAUUUUGAGGGUUUAGAAUCCUUGAUGGUUAAUAAGACGGAAAGACCCUAGGAUCUUUUGUUUUUGUUUGGGGCAAAUUUUGGUGUUUUAUGAAGAUUGUGACCCU